CGGAGCAAUGGUGACAGGUGGUGCAUGGUUGUCGUCAGCUCGUGUCGUGAGAUGUUGGGUUAAGUCCCGCAACGAGCGCAACCCUUAUCUUUAGUAGCCAGCACGUUAAGGUGGGAACUCUAGAGAGACUGCCGGGGAUAACUCGGAGGAAGGUGGGGAUGACGUCAAAUCAUCAUGCCCCUUAUGACCUGGGCUACACACGUGCUACAAUGGCGGAUACAAAGGGAAGCAAACCCGUGAGGUCGAGCAAACCCCAGAAAGUCCGUCCCAGUUCGGAUUGUAGUCUGCAACUCGACUACAUGAAGUUGGAAUCGCUAGUAAUCGCGAAUCAGAAUGUCGCGGUGAAUACGUUCCCGGGCCUUGUACACACCGCCCGUCACACCAUGGGAGUUGGAAGUGCCCGAAGUCAGUGACCCAACUGUAAAGAGGGAGCUGCCGAAGGCAAAGUCGAUGACUAGGGUGAAGUCGUAACAAGGUA
RNAcentral lists this ribosomal RNA (478 nucleotides) under uncultured bacterium. RNAcentral's name for it is "bacterial SSU rRNA". It matches the Rfam family "Bacterial small subunit ribosomal RNA", at positions 1021 to 1498 of the family's 1533-position model. The record is from RNAcentral.